CUUCGGGGCAGGGUGAGGCAAAAGCCAAUUCCCGACCGGUGGUAAAGUCCACGAGCGAAAGCUGAUCCGGUGCAAUUCCGGAACCGACGGUACAGUCCGGAUGAAAGAAGU
This 111-nucleotide non-coding RNA is filed under the name uncultured Flexilinea sp. Its description in RNAcentral is "FMN riboswitch (RFN element)". It matches the Rfam family "FMN riboswitch aptamer (RFN element)". Rfam says of the family: The RFN element is a highly conserved domain that is found frequently in the 5'-untranslated regions of prokaryotic mRNAs that encode for flavin mononucleotide (FMN) biosynthesis and transport proteins. This element is a metabolite-dependent riboswitch that directly binds FMN in the absence of proteins. In Bacillus subtilis, the riboswitch most likely controls gene expression by causing premature transcription termination within the 5' untranslated region of the ribDEAHT operon and precluding access to the ribosome-binding site of ypaA mRNA. Lineage: Bacteria; Bacillati; Chloroflexota; Anaerolineae; Anaerolineales; Anaerolineaceae. The record is from RNAcentral.